RNAcentral lists this ribosomal RNA (671 nucleotides) under Escherichia coli. RNAcentral describes it as "partial 23S ribosomal RNA". It matches the Rfam family "Bacterial large subunit ribosomal RNA", at positions 165 to 875 of the family's 2925-position model. Lineage: Bacteria; Pseudomonadati; Pseudomonadota; Gammaproteobacteria; Enterobacterales; Enterobacteriaceae. The record is from RNAcentral.
CAUAGGUUAAUGAGGCGAACCGGGGGAACUGAAACAUCUAAGUACCCCGAGGAAAAGAAAUCAACCGAGAUUCCCCCAGUAGCGGCGAGCGAACGGGGAGCAGCCCAGAGCCUGAAUCAGUGUGUGUGUUAGUGGAAGCGUCUGGAAAGGCGCGCGAUACAGGGUGACAGCCCCGUACACAAAAAUGCACAUACUGUGAGCUCGAUGAGUAGGGCGGGACACGUGGUAUCCUGUCUGAAUAUGGGGGGACCAUCCUCCAAGGCUAAAUACUCCUGACUGACCGAUAGUGAACCAGUACCGUGAGGGAAAGGCGAAAAGAACCCCGGCGAGGGGAGUGAAAAAGAACCUGAAACCGUGUACGUACAAGCAGUGGGAGCACAGAGCAAUCUGUGUGACUGCGUACCUUUUGUAUAAUGGGUCAGCGACUUAUAUUCUGUAGCAAGGUUAACCGAAUAGGGGAGCCGAAGGGAAACCGAGUCUUAACUGGGCGUUAAGUUGCAGGGUAUAGACCCGAAACCCGGUGAUCUAGCCAUGGGCAGGUUGAAGGUUGGGUAACACUAACUGGAGGACCGAACCGACUAAUGUUGAAAAAUUAGCGGAUGACUUGUGGCUGGGGGUGAAAGGCCAAUCAAACCGGGAGAUAGCUGGUUCUCCCCGAAAGCUAUUUAGGU